UACGUAGGUGGCAAGCGUUGUCCGGAAUUAUUGGGCGUAAAGCGCGCGCAGGCGGAUUGGUCAGUCUGUCUUAAAAGUUCGGGGCUUAACCCCGUGAUGGGAUGGAAACUGCCAAUCUAGAGUAUCGGAGAGGAAAGUGGAAUUCCUAGUGUAGCGGUGAAAUGCGUAGAUAUUAGGAAGAACACCAGUGGCGAAGGCGACUUUCUGGACGAAAACUGACGCUGAGGCGCGAAAGCCAGGGGAGCGAACGGGAUUAGAACUCCGGUAGU
Molecule: ribosomal RNA, 269 nt
Filed under: uncultured bacterium
Lineage: Bacteria
Description: partial 16S ribosomal RNA
Rfam family: Bacterial small subunit ribosomal RNA
Source: RNAcentral